Molecule: unclassified non-coding RNA, 378 nt
Filed under: uncultured Rickettsiales bacterium
Lineage: Bacteria; Pseudomonadati; Pseudomonadota; Alphaproteobacteria; Rickettsiales
Description: contains 16S-23S intergenic spacer region
Source: RNAcentral
UCCGGCUUAUCACCGGCAGUUUUCUCAGAGUGCCCAACUGAAUGCUGGCAACAGAGAAUGAGGGUUGCGCUCGUUGCGGGACUUAACCCAACAUCUCACGACACGAGCUGACGACAGCCAUGCAGCACCUGUGCACCUCCCACCCGAAGUGAAGAGCUCCCUUUCAGGAGCUCAUAGAGGGCAUGUCAAAGCCUGGUAAGGUUCUUCGCGUUGCCUCGAAUUAAACCACAUGUUCCACCGCUUGUGCGGGUCCCCGUCAAUUUCUUUGAGUUUUAAUCUUGCGACCGUACUCCCCAGGCGGGGUGCUUAACGCGUUAGCUGCGCCACGGAGAGGUAACCUCCCCACGGCUAGCACCCAUCGUUUACGGCGUGGACUAC